RNAcentral lists this ribosomal RNA (468 nucleotides) under uncultured bacterium. RNAcentral describes it as "partial 16S ribosomal RNA". It matches the Rfam family "Bacterial small subunit ribosomal RNA", at positions 28 to 507 of the family's 1533-position model. The record is from RNAcentral.
GACGAACGCUGGCGGCGUGCUUAACCCAUGCAAGUCGAACGGAAAGGCCCUGCUUGUGUGGGGUGCUCGAGUGGCGAACGGGUGAGUAACACGAGAGUAACCUGCCCUUGACUUUGGGAUAACUUCAGGAAACUGGGGCUAAUACCGGAUAGGAGCUCCUGCUGCAUGGUGGGGGUUGGAAAGUUUCGGCGGGUGGGGAUGGACUCGCGGCUUAGCAGCUUGUUAGUGGGGGAGUGGCUUACCAAGGCUUUGACGGGUAGCCGGCCUGGGAGGGUGACCGGCCACAUUGGGACUAGGAGACGGCCCAGACUCCAACGGGAGGCAGCAGUGGGGAGUCUUGCACAAUGGGCGGACGCCUGUUGCAGCAGCGCCGCGUGCGGGAUGCCGGCCUUCGGGUUGUAAACCGCUUUCGCCUGUGACGAAGCGUGAGUGACGGUAAUGGGUAAAGAAGCACCGGCUAACUACGUG